Molecule: ribosomal RNA, 462 nt
Filed under: uncultured bacterium
Lineage: Bacteria
Description: partial 16S ribosomal RNA
Rfam family: Bacterial small subunit ribosomal RNA
Source: RNAcentral
GACGAACGCUGGCGGCGUGCUUAACACAUGCAAGUCGAACGGAAAGGCCCUUCGGAGUCCUCGAGUGGCGAACGGGUGAGUAACACGUGGGUGAUCUGCCCUGCACUUUGGGAUAAGCCUGGGAAACUGGGUCUAAUACCGAAUAGGACCACGCGCUUCAUGGUGUGUGGUGGAAAGCUUUUGCGGUGUGGGAUGGGCCCGCGGCCUAUCAGCUUGUUGGUGGGGUAAUGGCCUACCAAGGCGACGACGGGUAGCCGGCCUGAGAGGGUGACCGGCCACACUGGGACUGAGAUACGGCCCAGACUCCUACGGGAGGCAGCAGUGGGGAAUAUUGCACAAUGGGCGCAAGCCUGAUGCAGCGACGCCGCGUGAGGGAUGACGGCCUUCGGGUUGUAAACCUCUUUCAAUAGGGACGAAGCGCAAGUGACGGUACCUAUAGAAGAAGCACCGGCCAACUACGUG